Molecule: small nuclear RNA, 107 nt
Filed under: Chinchilla lanigera (long-tailed chinchilla)
Lineage: Eukaryota; Metazoa; Chordata; Mammalia; Rodentia; Chinchillidae
Source: RNAcentral
GUGCUCGCUUCAGCAGCACAUACACUAAAAUUGGAACGAUACAGAGAAGAUUAGCAUGGCCCCUGUGCAAGGAUGACAUGCAAAUUCGUGAAGCGUUCCAUAUUUUU